GCACAGAAAGGAAUCUGGCUUGAUGUCUCUAUCUUGCAUCUCCAGAUAGAGCUUUAAAGCAUCUUCACCUUGUUCUCCUUGAGAAUAAGCUGUUAUCAUAGAUGUAAAUGCCACCAAAUCUACAAAUGGGCUUUCUUUGAACACAUUGGUUGCAGCUUCUAUGUAACCACAUUUUCCAUAUGUAUCAAUAAGGCUGUUAGCAACAUAGUUGUCCGAUUCGAACCCUGCUUUCACAGAAAAUGCAUGAAUUUG
This 252-nucleotide unclassified non-coding RNA is filed under the name Hevea brasiliensis (rubber tree). Lineage: Eukaryota; Viridiplantae; Streptophyta; Magnoliopsida; Malpighiales; Euphorbiaceae. The record is from RNAcentral.